UAGGGAAUCUUCGGCAAUGGACGAAAGUCUGACCGAGCAACGCCGCGUGCGUGAAGAAGGUUUUCGGAUCGUAAAACUCUGUUGUUAGAGAAGAACAAGGACGUUAGUAACUGAACGUCCCCUGACGGUAUCUAACCAGAAAGCCACGGCUAACUACGUGCCAGCAGCCGCGGUAAUACGUAGGUGGCAAGCGUUGUCCGGAUUUAUUGGGCGUAAAGCGAGCGCAGGCGGUUUCUUAAGUCUGAUGUGAAAGCCCCCGGCUCAACCGGGGAGGGUCAUUGGAAACUGGGAGACUUGAGUGCAGAAGAGGAGAGUGGAAUUCCAUGUGUAGCGGUGAAAUGCUUAGAUAUAUGGAGGAACACCAGUGGCUAAGGCGGCUCUCUGGUCUGUAACUGACGCUGAGGCUCGAAAGCGUGGGGAGCAAACAGG
This 429-nucleotide ribosomal RNA is filed under the name Gemmatimonadota bacterium. RNAcentral's name for it is "Gemmatimonadetes bacterium partial 16S ribosomal RNA". It matches the Rfam family "Bacterial small subunit ribosomal RNA", at positions 355 to 776 of the family's 1533-position model. Lineage: Bacteria; Pseudomonadati; Gemmatimonadota. The record is from RNAcentral.